RNAcentral lists this transfer RNA (73 nucleotides) under Stegodyphus mimosarum. It matches the Rfam family "tRNA". Rfam says of the family: Transfer RNA (tRNA) molecules are approximately 80 nucleotides in length. Their secondary structure includes four short double-helical elements and three loops (D, anti-codon, and T loops). Lineage: Eukaryota; Metazoa; Arthropoda; Arachnida; Araneae; Eresidae. The record is from Rfam by way of RNAcentral.
GCCUUCGUGGUGUAGUGGUCAGCACGCUCGACGCGUAACCGAAAGGUCCGUGGUUCGAUUCUCGGCGAGCGCA